Molecule: ribosomal RNA, 434 nt
Filed under: uncultured maize root bacterium Zmrc89
Lineage: Bacteria
Description: bacterial SSU rRNA
Rfam family: Bacterial small subunit ribosomal RNA
Source: RNAcentral
AAAGAGAACCUGCACACAGGUGCUGCAUGGCUGUCGUCAGCUCGUGUCGUGAGAUGUUGGGUUAAGUCCCGCAACGAGCGCAACCCUUGCCAUUAGUUGCUACGAAAGGGCACUCUAAUGGGACUGCCGGUGACAAACCGGAGGAAGGUGGGGAUGACGUCAAGUCCUCAUGGCCCUUAUAGGUGGGGCUACACACGUCAUACAAUGGCUGGUACAAAGGGUUGCCAACCCGCGAGGGGUAGCUAAUCCCAUAAAGCCAGUCGUAGUCCGGAUCGCAGUCUGCAACUCGACUGCGUGAAGUCGGAAUCGCUAGUAAUCGUGGAUCAGAAUGUCACGGUGAAUACGUUCCCGGGUCUUGUACACACCGCCCGUCACACCAUGGGAGCGGGUCUCGCCAGAAGUUGGUAGCCUAGCCGCAAGGAGGGCGCUUACCA